UACGUAGGGUGCAAGCGUUGUCCGGAAUUAUUGGGCGUAAAGAGCUCGUAGGCGGUUUGUCGCGUCUGCUGUGAAAACCCGAGGCUCAACCUCGGGCCUGCAGUGGGUACGGGCAGACUAGAGUGCGGUAGGGGAGAUUGGAAUUCCUGGUGUAGCGGUGGAAUGCGCAGAUAUCAGGAGGAACACCAAUGGCGAAGGCAGAUCGCUGGGCCGGAACUGACGCUGAGGAGCGAAAGCGUGGGGAGCGAACAGG
RNAcentral lists this ribosomal RNA (253 nucleotides) under uncultured bacterium. RNAcentral's name for it is "partial 16S ribosomal RNA". It matches the Rfam family "Bacterial small subunit ribosomal RNA", at positions 524 to 776 of the family's 1533-position model. The record is from RNAcentral.